GAUGAACGCUGGCGGCGUGCCUAAUACAUGCAAGUCGAGCGAACGGACGAGAAGCUUGCUUCUCUGAUGUUAGCGGCGGACGGGUGAGUAACACGUGGAUAACCUACCUAUAAGACUGGGAUAACUUCGGGAAACCGUAGCUAAUACCGGAUAAUAUUUUGAACCGCAUUGUUCAAAAGUGAAAGACGGUCUUGCUGUCACUUAUAGAUGGAUCCGCGCUGCAUUAGCUAGUUGGUAAGGUAACGGCUUACCAAGGCAACGAUGCAUAGCCGACCUGAGAGGGUGAUCGGCCACACUGGAACUGAGACACGGUCCAGACUCCUACGGGAGGCAGCAGUAGGGAAUCUUCCGCAAAGGGCGAAAGCCUGACGGAGCAACGCCGCGUGAGUGAUGAAGGUCUUCGGAUCGUAAAACUCUGUUAUUAGGGAAGAACAUAUGUGUAAGUAACUGUGCACAUCUUGACGGUACCUAAUCAGAAAGCCACGGCUAACUACGUG
Molecule: ribosomal RNA, 497 nt
Filed under: uncultured bacterium
Lineage: Bacteria
Description: partial 16S ribosomal RNA
Rfam family: Bacterial small subunit ribosomal RNA
Source: RNAcentral